UACGUAGGGUGCAAGCGUUGUCCGGAAUUAUUGGGCGUAAAGAGCUCGUAGGUGGCCUGUCGCGUCGGCUGUGAAAACUCGGGGCUCAACUCCGAGCUUGCAGUCGAUACGGGCAGGCUAGAGUUCGGCAGGGGAGACUGGAAUUCCUGGUGUAGCGGUGAAAUGCGCAGAUAUCAGGAGGAACACCGAUGGCGAAGGCAGGUCUCUGGGCCACUACUGACGCUGAGAAGCGAAAGCAUGGGGAGCGAACAGG
RNAcentral lists this ribosomal RNA (253 nucleotides) under uncultured bacterium. RNAcentral describes it as "partial 16S ribosomal RNA". It matches the Rfam family "Bacterial small subunit ribosomal RNA", at positions 524 to 776 of the family's 1533-position model. The record is from RNAcentral.